Molecule: ribosomal RNA, 468 nt
Filed under: uncultured bacterium
Lineage: Bacteria
Description: partial 16S ribosomal RNA
Rfam family: Bacterial small subunit ribosomal RNA
Source: RNAcentral
GACGAUGGCUGGCGGCGCGCCUAACACAUGAAAGCCGAACGGAGUCAAGAGGAGCUUGCUUUUCUUGACUUAGGGGCGAACGGGUGAGUAACGCGUGAGUAACCUGCCCUGGAGUGGGGGACAACAGUUGGAAACGACUGCUAAUACCGCAUAAGCUCACGGAUCUGGAUGGAUCUGCGGGAAAAGGAUUUAUUCGCUCUAGGAUGGUCUCGCGUCCAAUUAGCUAGUUGGUGAGGUAACGGCUCACCAAGGCGACGAUUGGUAGCCGGACUGAGAGGUUGCCCGGCCACAUCGGCAGUUACAUACUCCCCAGACUCCUACCUGAAGCAGCAGUCGGUGAUAUUGCACAAUGAGUGAAUCCAAGAUGCAGCGACGGUACGUGUAUGAAGAAUAUAUUAGGAUUGUAGACUCUUGUUGUUAGCAACGAUCAUGACCGUACCUAACAAGAAUGCACCAGCUUGCUACUUG